Molecule: ribosomal RNA, 444 nt
Filed under: uncultured bacterium
Lineage: Bacteria
Description: bacterial SSU rRNA
Rfam family: Bacterial small subunit ribosomal RNA
Source: RNAcentral
UCCUACGGGGGGCAGCAGUAGGGAAUAUUGCACAAUGGGCGAAAGCCUGAUGCAGCAACGCCGCGUGCGCGAUGAAGGCCUUCGGGUCGUAAAGCGCUUUUCGGGGAGAUGAGGAAGGACAGUAUCCCCGGAAUAAGGCUCGGCUAACUACGUGCCAGCAGCCGCGGUAAAACGUAGGAGCCAAGCGUUAUCCGAAUUCACUGGGCGUAAAGCGUGUGCAGGCGGAGUGGUAAGUUGGAUGUGAAAUCUCCUGGCUCAACUGGGAGAGGCCGUUCAAUACUGCCGGUCUUGAGGGCAACAGAGGGAGGUGGAAUUCCCGGUGUAGUGGUGAAAUGCGUAGAUAUCGGGAGGAACACCAGUGGCGAAAGCGGCCUCCUGGGUUGCACCUGACGCUCAGACACGAAAGCUAGGGGAGCGAACGGGAUUAGAUACCCCCGUAGUCCG